RNAcentral lists this ribosomal RNA (1016 nucleotides) under uncultured bacterium. Its description in RNAcentral is "bacterial SSU rRNA". It matches the Rfam family "Bacterial small subunit ribosomal RNA", at positions 357 to 1376 of the family's 1533-position model. The record is from RNAcentral.
AGGAAUAUUGGUCAAUGGGCGCGAGCCUGAACCAGCCAAGUAGCGUGAAGGAUGAAGGUCCUACGGAUUGUAAACUUCUUUUAUAAGGGAAUAAAGUCACCCACGUGUGGGUGUUUGUAUGUACCUUAUGAAUAAGCAUCGGCUAACUCCGUGCCAGCAGCCGCGGUAAUACGGAGGAUGCGAGCGUUAUCCGGAUUUAUUGGGUUUAAAGGGAGCGUAGACGGGCCGUUAAGUCAGCUGUGAAAGUUUGAGGCUCAACCUUAAAAUUGCAGUUGAUACUGGCGUCCUUGAGUACGGUUGAGGCAGGCGGAAUUCGUGGUGUAGCGGUGAAAUGCUUAGAUAUCACGAAGAACCCCGAUUGCGAAGGCAGCCUGCUAAACCGCCACUGACGUUGAGGCUCGAAAGUGUGGGUAUCAAACAGGAUUAGAUACCCUGGUAGUCCACACGGUAAGCGAUGGAUACUCGCUGUUGGCGAUAGACUGUCAGCGGCUUAGCGAAAGCGUUAAGUAUCCCACCUGGGGAGUACGCCGGCAACGGUGAAACUCAAAGGAAUUGACGGGGGCCCGCACAAGCGGAGGAACAUGUGGUUUAAUUCGAUGAUACGCGAGGAACCUUACCCGGGCUUGAAUUGCAGACGAAUUGCUUGGAAACAGGCAAGCCGCAAGGCGUCUGUGAAGGUGCUGCAUGGUUGUCGUCAGCUCGUGCCGUGAGGUGUCGGCUUAAGUGCCAUAACGAGCGCAACCCUCGUGUCCAGUUACUAGCAGGUUAUGCUGAGGACUCUGGACAGACUGCCAUCGUAAGAUGUGAGGAAGGUGGGGAUGACGUCAAAUCAGCACGGCCCUUACGUCCGGGGCUACACACGUGUUACAAUGGGGGGUACAGCAGGCAGCUACCGGGCGACCGGAUGCCAAUCCCGAAAGCCUCUCUCAGUUCGGACUGGAGUCUGCAACCCGACUCCACGAAGCUGGAUUCGCUAGUAAUCGCGCAUCAGCCACGGCGCGGUGAAUACGUUCCCG